GGGUGCAAGCGUUAAAUCGGAAAUAACUGGGGCGUAAAAGCCGCCACGCAGGGCGGUUUGUUAAGUCAGAUGUGAAAUCCCCGGGCUCCAACCUGGGAAACUGCAUCUGAUACUGGCAAGCUUGAGUCUCGUAGAGGGGGGGUAGAAUUCCAGGUGUAGCGGUGAAAUGCGUAGAGAUCUGGAGGAAUACCGGUGGCGAAGGCGGCCCCCUGGACGAAGACUGACGCUCAGGUGCGAAAGCGUGGGGAGCAAAACAGGAUUAGAUACCCUGGUAGUCCACGCCGUAAACGAUGUCGACUUGGAGGUUGUGCCCUUGAGGCGUGGCUUCCGGAGCUAACGCGUUAAGUCGACCGCCUGGGGAGUACGGCCGCAAGGUUAAAACUCAAAUGAAUUGACGGGGGCCCGCACAAGCGGUGGAGCAUGUGGUUUAAUUCGAUGCAACGCGAAGAACCUUACCUGGUCUUGACAUCCACAGAACUUUCCAGAGAUGGAUUGGUGCCUUCGGGAACUGUGAGACAGGUGCUGCAUGGCUGUCGUCAGCUCGUGUUGUGAAAUGUUGGGUUAAGUCCCGCAACGAGCGCAACCCUUAUCCUUUGUUGCCAGCGGUCCGGCCGGGAACUCAAAGGAGACUGCCAGUGAUAAACUGGAGGAAGGUGGGGAUGACGUCAAGUCAUCAUGGCCCUUACGACCAGGGCUACACACGUGCUACAAUGGCGCAUACAAAGAGAAGCGACCUCGCGAGAGCAAGCGGACCUCAUAAAGUGCGUCGUAGUCCGGAUUGGAGUCUGCAACUCGACUCCAUGAAGUCGGAAUCGCUAGUAAUCGUGGAUCAGAAUGCCACGGUGAAUACGUUCCCGGGCCUUGUCACACCGCCCGUCACACCAUGGGAGUGGGUUGCAAAAUUAAGUAGGUAGCUUAACCUCGGAGG
This 928-nucleotide ribosomal RNA is filed under the name Pseudescherichia vulneris (CDC Enteric Group 1). Its description in RNAcentral is "bacterial SSU rRNA". It matches the Rfam family "Bacterial small subunit ribosomal RNA", at positions 530 to 1449 of the family's 1533-position model. The record is from RNAcentral. Lineage: Bacteria; Pseudomonadati; Pseudomonadota; Gammaproteobacteria; Enterobacterales; Enterobacteriaceae.